UACGUAGGGUGCGAGCGUUGUCCGGAAUUAUUGGGCGUAAAGGGCUCGUAGGCGGCCUGACAAGUUGGGUGUGAAAUACCUCGGCUCAACCGAGGAACAGCGCUCAAAACUGUCAGGCUUGAGGGAGAUAGAGGUGAGCGGAACUUAAGGUGGAGCGGUGAAAUGCGUUGAUAUCUUAAGGAACACCCGUGGCGAAAGCGGCUCACUGGAUCUCUUCUGACGCUCAUGCACGAAAGCUAGGGGAGCAAACGGG
RNAcentral lists this ribosomal RNA (253 nucleotides) under uncultured bacterium. RNAcentral's name for it is "partial 16S ribosomal RNA". It matches the Rfam family "Bacterial small subunit ribosomal RNA", at positions 524 to 776 of the family's 1533-position model. The record is from RNAcentral.